GACUGGCAGCAGCUGUCCUGGCAGCAGCAGGGCUUGCAGCAGCUGGACUUACAACAGCUGGACUGGCAGCAGCAGGGCUUGCAGCAGCUGGACUUGCAGCAGCUGUCCUGGCAGCAGCAGGGCUUGCAGCUGCUGGACUUGCAGCAGCAGGGCUUGCAGCAGCUGGACUGGCAGCAGCUGUCCUGGCAGCAGCAGGGCUUGCAGCAGCUGGGCUUACAACAGCUGGACUGGCAGCAGCAGGGCUUG
RNAcentral lists this small RNA (246 nucleotides) under Marmota monax (woodchuck). The record is from RNAcentral. Lineage: Eukaryota; Metazoa; Chordata; Mammalia; Rodentia; Sciuridae.